AAAGUUUGAGAGAUUUUUUUUUGUUGCAUGGCCUUUUUUUUUUUAACAAACUAGAAAAGUGUAAAAAUCAUGCAGUACUUGGUUGAUACGUAAUGUUUUAACAACAAAAAUACAGCACUCCUCUCCCCCAUCUUGUCUCAAAAAUGGUUUGAUCCUGCCCAACUUGGGCUCUGAGCCUCUACCUGCAGAGCUAAGCGCUGCCUCCCACAGAAGCAUAUGUUCCAUAGUAGUUCCAAAGAGGGAGAGAUGAAAAAGGGGGAGGAGAGAGUGCAAGGUCAGGAAUAACCAGGGUCUCUGGGGGCUGGAGUCUAUGCCAGCUGACUGAGGGUGAAGACAGGAGACACCUGGACAGGUAACAGUCUAUCGGAGGACUACACUUUCCAGGAUUAAUGACAUCAUCUGAAUUGUAAUGAAUUUAGGAAGAACAUGAACAUCAUUUAUGUGUGUAAAGAGUUAAAUCCUUCUAUGAUUACCUUGUAAUAAAAGUACACAGAAAGGGCAGCAGCUGUAUCUUUAAAAGGAUACAUGGGUAUAAAAUGCAAAAAUAAGACUGGAAUAUCACUCAUGAAAGGCAGAAUGAGCACUACCAAUGACCACAGCAGUAAUAGUAACCUAAAGCCAUCCUAACGCCCUAAAAUGUUUCUGUUUGCUGCCUGAAAGAAACUCUGGAGCUGGAAGUGUUUGCUGAUCUGGUUUUUAAACUUCAGGACAGCGGUCCUAAAGAAUCCCCAUCUGAUGCAUAUGAUGGAAUCUAUGUGCAGGAGAGUUAUGCUGUCCACUAGGUGUUUGGACCAUGAAGAGUCUUAUCGACACAGAGUUUACUGAAGACCGGUGUUGGAGCAUUUCCUUCUCCCCGUCAAAAUCUGGUGUCUGAUGUCUGGACACUGGUGGUGGUGCUGGCAUACAGAUGAGAAGAUGAGAAACCUGUCACCCAGUGGUGCACACUUGUUUAUUCUUGGGGGUAUUUUCUGAUUUUCCCCCUCCCAGUCUGGUACAUCACCGUCCUGGAGCAACAUCUGUCUGGCACCAGCUGCUCCAAAACGGCCCCACACAAGAACCAGCAGACUCAGUAAAGCAUCCUCAUAUUGAGAUCAUGAAAGACUGGUUAUGCAUGAUCUAAACGUAAAUGUAUUGUAAGCAACACAAGAUGUAUAUAACAUCAUGAACAGCUGGACUUUAAUUGACCGUUGAACAGUCAGUGACAAGACAAAUAAGUUAAAAUGAAGAAAAAUGACUAAAUUAAUAUAUUUAUGCAAAUAGCAGUUCAUAUUCGGCCAAGGAACACGGAGAAGUAUUGUGAUGAUCGGCGUACAUUUGUCUGUGAAUCUGUUAGCAACAUACUCAAAAAGGGACUAAUGGAUUUGGAUGAUGUUUUCAGGGAAGGUCAGAAAAGACACAAGGUCUAAGUGAUUAGAUUUUGGCAGUGAUGUGGUUUAUAGUCUGGAUCCAUGGAUUUGUUAAACGUUUCUGUAUCAUUAUGAGAUAGCAGCAUGGUGUCACUGUAACCAUGACAACAAGUGAACACUAUGUCAGCUGCCUGCUGAUGAUUACAUGAUUGUGAUCCUACUACAAAUCCACCGCUUUGGACUUAUCCAUCAGAAAUCAAACAAGGAACAACCGUUGACCUUAGCUUCAGCUGUGGUGUUCCCUGAAGUGGCAGUAUUCACAGAACAAGCAGCAGGCUGAUUGAAACACUGAAAUGUUGUCAUUUGGUUUUGCUUUCUCCAAUGACUAGUGUGGACCAUUCCAUUCAUCUUGUGGUUUGAUUCAAUUAAUCUUCAGGACCGCACAUGCUUAGUACCCAGCAUCACUAGAGUCUGCUCUAAACUCAUCAGACACCCUGUUAGAGCCCUUUCUGUAUAUUGAGACCAGCAAAUAACUCACACUGUUCACAGGAUCCUACACCACCCCUCACUCAAACUACACUGAGUGUUUGAGUGGCUCCCAUCAGGUCGUAGGUUAAGAUGUCCACCUGCAGAACACAGAGGAGGACCUUUGUCUCCACAGCAAUCCAGCUUCUGAACUCUGACCCCUCUCUGUCCAGACAUUACACAAACCCACAACUCAGUGUACACAACCCGUUAGAGUGAAGCACAGAGCACUUUAUUGACAUAGACAAUCUGCAAUUUUUAAAAUUUCACAAUUUUAAAAAUUUAAAAUCAGUUUUAUUGUUUGAUGUUUUGCUUGUUAUUGUCAUGUUCUUUGUUGAUGCUGUUCUUUGCACAUUUUAAUUGCCCCUUGGUGCUAAAUAAAGUGUUUGAAUUGAACUGAAUUGAAAUUCAGGUGGUUGACUCGUUCUCCUCUUCU
Acanthochromis polyacanthus (spiny chromis) is the source of this 2307-nucleotide long non-coding RNA. RefSeq lists it as uncharacterized. The record is from RefSeq and is a predicted model, not a curated record. NCBI's taxonomy places the organism in Eukaryota, Metazoa, Chordata, Actinopteri, Pomacentridae. The transcript has 3 exons.